UAUACGGAACCCACAAAUCCACUAUUUAUCAAAUUAAAUGCGAUGACAUUUUAUGACCUGGUUGACUUUAAAAUCACCCAAUUAAUGUACAAAGCACACAAUAACCUGCUCUGCCAAAACAUUCAGAAGUUUUUCGAAAUUCGAGAAAGCAACUAUGAAUUAAGAGGUACCAACUUAUUCAAAAAACUCAAAACAAGAACAAACAUCAAGCAAAGAAGUGUAUCUAGCAAAGGUGUUAAUCAGUGGAAUAAUCUCGAAACGGACCUAAAAAUGAGUAUAUCGCUUGCUGAGUUCAAAAACAAAUUCCAAAAAAUAGUACAAACAACCUACAUCAAUCAGAGUUAAAAUGAUAAAUUCUAAACAUUAAAUAUAAUGAUAAAUCAGAGCUAAGUUGAUAAAUAGAGAAAGGUAUUGAAAUAUCCACUAUGAAUACAAGAGAAAAUUGACACAAGAGUGCCAGGGUGAGGAUGUAUAUAAUCCCGAUACAAACCAAAAGUUGUAAAAAUAUCGCGGUUAAGCAUGAGCCUUAAUGGAGACUUCUUCUUACUUUUUCUUUUCUGAUUGAUAUAAAAAUGAUUUAGUAGAUAUAAACACAUAACGGGGUAGGACUAGAUAAGUUUUUUACUUCAUCCUACUCCCUUGAACAUAAUAACUGUCUUUCUUUUUACUUUUUUAUCUACCUUAUUUUCUGUCAAAUUAUUACUGUAUACGUUUUAUGUUCAAUAAACAAACAAACACACAGCUACAUCACUUCUUGGAUGUAUCCCAUUGUGAAAAUGUUGCAAAUCAUUUGUUAUGCCUGUGAAGAGACCUGGCGAAUUUGGUUAAUCCCGGUGUUUCAGGGAAAUAUUGAUGAAUUUUGAAUAUUUUUUUUUUUCCUUUCUGUAUUCUUUCGUGUGUUAUGCCGAUGAGUGUCGAACCAGGAGGCAAAACUUCCCUGGCCUUUGCUGUCUUGUGUACUCCGACAAAUUGGUUCAGGGUUCUAUCCCGAGGACUACUCUGUACCAUUGACUGCAAACGCAUCUUGUCUGUCACAACAGUGCCGCCUCCUCCUAUUUGUCGGUCUUCUAUUGGAAGAGCUGGUUCGGCGUGGCAGUGUGACCUUGUCACAUGCUCCAAAAACAACUGAGGCUAAACUAGAGCCAGCCUAGUGUCUGAAAGGUAUCAGGAGAGAGGACUGCGUAUCUGGGAGACUUGUUCCAAUUGGCCGUGACCUCCUGACUGGGUGCUUGUAAUUAGAAGCAAGUCCCUCGCUGUGCCUCCCUCUCUUCUCCAAAGUAAAUACCUUGGCAUCCAACCGGAAUGCUGACAGACCUCUGUUUUGGGUGCUGUGUGAGAGGCGGGAGAGAGCUCCUUGCGUUCAACACUCAGCCCUCGUACAACACUUGUUCCGUCUGUCAGCGACACGCCGUGAUAUUCUAAAUGAAGAAUAUCACGACUGUCUGAUGACAACCGUGUGCAUUUCUGUCAACUGUUAAUAGCUUUAGCGCCGGAAAUGUAAAUCCAUCCGUUCGCAACCGUAUGCAUGUUGUACGUGUAUGUUUACAAAUGCUUUGGGCAAGGGGGAGGGGGGGAACUUGUGUCCAAGUGAAAAACAUGAGAGGAAAUCAAUCUGUAUACUCUCGGUGAUGGAUUCAUGGCUUUUUCAUUUUACACUGACGUUAAGGAUAAUUCUCAUGAAUGAGCGAAUCUAAGUUGGUCUUAUCAUUGGCGCAGGGAUGGAUGGAUCUGAAGCGGAUAUACGUACAGUCAAACCUCGGUUUUCCAUCUCUGUUCUCCACCAAAUUGGUUUUCGACCCAAAAUUUUAAUUUUUUUUUUAUGCCUCAGAUUACGACCGAAAAUCGGUUCUCGACCAAACUGAGCGCACUUGAAUGCGCCACUUGACUCCUCUCGCCUUCCUUACACGCGGAAGUGACGCUUCCUCGUGUCACGUUCCAUUGUGAGCAGACGUGUUCAAUAAAGAUUUUUUUUUUAAAAGAGUAUGGUUUCGGUUUUCGAACAAAUCAGUUUUCAAACAGCCUCCUGGAACAGAUUAUGGUUGAAAACCGAGUUAUGACUGUAUAAUGUUUGAAGGACUGUCCCGGCAGAGACUUGUUAACCACCUAGCGACUGUACAUACUUCAAAACAAAUUUGCCGUGGUUUUUUAGCCACAAAAUGUUCGUAAUAUGUGCAGAAGAAGACAGAUCAAAGGUCGCUUAGAUUAUGCAUUGUCUUCCCCGCUCAAAUUCUUUGCUUCAUAAUAACCUUGACCACAGGCUUGCAGUUUGCAAGGGAAAUGAUAGACUAUCAGUUCCUGUAUAUUUUGAUUGCAUAACCCGUGUGUUUGACUCCCAACACGGCGUUAAAAUAAAACUCGGUUCAUCCCGACGCGGCUCAAAAGGCAGUCUGUAUUUGAAAGAGCAGGCCAUGGUAUCUUGCUAGGACCGCUCACCUGAUAACCUUCACUGCAGGGUCUACUCCAGUGCAGUGCAAGAAUGUGUGUGUGUGUGUGUGUGUGUGUGUGUGUGUGUGCGCCAUGUCUUUUUUUAGGAUUGUAUCGAGUCCUAUCGGAUCAUUUUUUUGAUCAUUGUUGACUGCAUGACUGUAUCCUCUCCUAUUUGAACCCUCGCGUUCCUUGCGCAGGACUGAAGCAGGGUGUCUCGAGCUGCUCGUUUCGGGCUCAGCAGCCUUACGCAGCAAUGUCGUCGAAAGUUAAAGAACUCUGAGGACCAUAGCAGAGCCGUGAGCGGUUUUGGUGUUUGGUCUGCGCGCUCCGAGAUUAGCGCAGCAGGUUGCCGCAAGCUUAGUUAAUGACAUGCCUAUCGCCGAAGUCCUUGGGAUGUCUGGUGGUGGGACCCGCACUUACAGUACACGCGAAAGGCACAGCACUUCCUUCCCGAGCCGAGUCGAUGUGACCUCAUCGAAUCACCAUGGCAGGCUAACAUUGCGGCAAGAGAAACAACAUAAAAUGUCUCUUCUCUGCCAAAUGGGAUGGGACAUCGUCAGCCACAAAUAGUCACUUAACAUCCAGAUGACACACCAUGCUCCCAUCCUGACAUUAAGUCCUAAUCACAUUUUCCAAAGCCGAAAGGCAGUAUGUGUGACUCGUAUGCAAAUAUAGCACAAAUUAGGAGCCGCUAUUUAGCCAACGCAGAAGUCACCGCCGUUCUUAACAUACAUUUUCAUAUGAAGAAUGAUUGCACGGAUCAAGCUGUGUAACUCACUUUAAUUCUUCUGGGAAGGCUGUCCACAAGGUUUCGGGGUGUGUUUAUGGGAAUUUUUGACCAUUGCUUCCAGAAGUGCAUAUGUGAGGUCACACCCUGGCGUUGGCCAGGAAGACAUGGCUCUCAGUCUCGGCUCUUAAUUUUUCCCGAAGGUAUGAUGUUGGGUUGAUGUCGGUCUCUGUGCAGGCCACUCAUCCACACCAGACUCUGUCAUCCAUGUCUUUAUGGACCAUGUGGAAAGACAAAGUGGCCAGCUCCGAACUCUUCCCAAAAAUUUGGGAGCGUGGAAUUGUCCAAAAAUCUCUUGGUAUGCCGAAGUAUCGCAUACUGUAUGUCAUAUUUUUCCAGCCAAAGUUCACAGAGAAAUGAUUUGGAAAGUAUUUAGCAAAAGUCAUUUGGCUGAUUUUUCAUCUCCUAAAGUUUUUUUUUUUUGGGACCAUAUUCCUCACGUUUUGUUGUUUUCUCCAAAUGUUACAUCCAUACAGGGUGGGGCUUGAGGUGGUCUCGACCUGCCUUGGUCUUUUAUUUUUUUCUUGACUCAGUCUGACAUUGCAUCUGUGUUGUUCUUCCCUUCUGUCAGUACACUGUUUAUAUCCUUAAAUUCCUACUGUAUUUUAUGGGGAAAGCGUUGCUGAGUGCUAGUUACAGCGCUGUCCUAUAUCAGUCAGCAGCCUGUUUAUGUCCAAACCCAAGAGUCGGGAGAUGAGCCAAGCGCUCGGUGCUCUGCCAGAUCAAUCCGAGAGUGAGCGAGCGAGGGACAAAAGGUCGGGCUUGAAGGAAAAGGGGGUGUGAGCAUUUCUUCUAGCGCGAUUCUCUGACCUACCUCCAUGCCGCCGAGUUCCACUGUUUGCCCACUCUGUUAACUAUUACCAAAAGGCUGUGUAUCUUGGCUUCAGCCCAACACUCUUACACAUACUGUGGCCCAUUAUCAAAGGAGACCUGCACGACGAGCUCUGGAAGCUUUCCAAAAGGCCACAAUUUCAACCCUAAGACCAUACCUGGCACCAGAGAACACUCCUUGUAGUUUUCUCGCAACUCUUUCUCCGAAGCCCCCCUUGCUACUCCCUUGAACAUAAACGUUGGUGAAACUGCACUUGGCAGGUACAGCCCUCCCCCCACACGUCUUUUUAGAAUCUCUUUCAAAUCCAGCCUUCGUUUUCAGGCCAGGCAGUAAAAAUGAUGCGCGAUACGGCACGCGCGCAUGUCUGUUUUAUGAACUGUAGAUGAUCAAGUGACAUGACAGAAAGAUAACACUGGUCAAUAAUUUAUUUAAAAAUUUCAAUCCAAGAUGCCCCUGAAUGGGAGUUGCUCACAUCAGUUGAAAUUCUCACCUUGAAGUUCAAUUGAGUUCAUUUUCAUGGCAAAGAGGGACUUGGAAAAUGAAUGCAAUUGAUCUUGAUCACUCCUCCAAACAUUCUGGGGUACAUGCAAAUCACAAUCAUUUAAAAAAAAAUGAGGCCGUUAGACUUUGUGAAAUGUAAUGUUUGUGUCAUUUUCAAAACGUUUGGCCAUGGCCGCGGGAAAAUAAAGCCAUCGCCGACACAAUUUGCUGUUGACCAGUGUAAUGAGACAAGGAGUAAUGAAAAUCAAAGCAAAUUGAAAAGUCAAAAGCAAUGCGGUGAAAUGUAUGCGGGUCUACUUAUGACACCUGACUUAGGUCAAAUACUGCCGUCUACCCGUGAUGUGAGCGGAUGUAGUUGCUCGUAAAGUAAAAUGCCAAGCAUCUCCUCUUACAUAAGGCAACAAGGCACAGUCUAUGAAUAGUGAUCUUCCGAUAUAAACACCGGAGCCUUGUCAACACUUUUUGUUUUAUUUCUGAAUAUCUUAACUUCCACAUCGGUUGGCAAAGCAUUUUCAAAACUUCGAUUGGUCAAAAAUGUGUCAAAAUAACACCCGCGUGUGGACUGACAAAUAGCAUAGACUUGUGAAGAAACUUGAAAUGGACCAAAUUGUGACAUCGGACAAUUUGGCCCAAUGCAUGCGAUACGUACUGUAUCUCCUUUCCGGUAUUUAAAAAAAAAAUAUAUAUAUAUAUAUUUUGUCCCUUUUCCCCCAAAGCAUUUUGCAGUUAUUCUGUCUACAUUAUCUGAAUAUGGCAUUUGAAGACAAGAGGAAGCUCCAAUUACAACGCCGUUCCGCUCACUUCCAGUACCUAUGCAGAUUCUUCUCUUCACAUUUUGCGGCUGGUCCCUUUGCAUGGAAUAACUGUCACGAAACGUUCCCAAACAUCAAAACACAUCCACAAAAUGUUUUUUGGGGGGGCUGGUUUCGGUCAAGAGCCACAGCUCGUGAUCAUAGGUGAGGGUGGGGUGGGCUACGUCGAUGCACGAGCAAAUUGAGAGCUUCAAAACACACAGAGAUUCUUAUUCCUAUCCCAACCGCUUCACACACUGCAGCAAGUCGCUUGAGUGAGAGUUGAGGGGGCUUGAUGAAGCCCAAAUAACCAAAUGAAACUAACAUACAAAAAAAACAAAAAAUGUCAUAUUGAGGCAACCAAACUAUACUCCCGAAGGGCUCUGCUGCAUUCUGUCUAAAAAAAAAAAAAGUUAUGGACAUAAUCAGUGACAAAGGGGAAACUUUGGAAAAUCCCAUUCCUCAUCGAAAAUGAAUUUGACUUUCUGCACGCAAUGUAGUGUAAAAUCCGACGCCGGUCAUACAAGAACUAAGCAGCCCGUGUCGGAGGGUCUUUCUCUGCAGACUCCCACAGCACCGCUUACAUGAUUCCCAGUGGGACAUUGUCGAAAUGCCUUCUCCGAGUCCACAAAACACAUGGAGACUGCUUGGGCAAAUUCCCCCGCACCCCCCUCAGACAUUUGGUGAGGGUGUGGAGGUGGACCACUCUUCCACAGUCAGGGCGAAAAACCACAUCGCUGAGGGUUUUUUGAACCUAUGGUGUGGAAUUUGGGAAAUUCGAGUAUAACUGUAUGUAAAGGUAUUGUCAAACAUUUUUCUCAUUGAGGCCCUCCCUGUAAUUGUUAAUAUUUCAAAUGUAUAUAUUUUAUUUAAUCACCCUCGGCCGGGACUUGAUUUGAUGUGGAUGUUAUGAUGUAGUGGAUAAGACGUGCCGUCAUCAUUUAAUGAGUUGGUUGGCGUUACAAUUCAGUGAGCACUACUUACUGGAUGUGAUUACUGUUUGUGUCCACGUCUGCGGUUGCUAUGGUGUAGUAUGUCGCUUGAUUCGAUCAGGUGGCAGCCUCAUCCGACUUCAGCCAGGUGUGCGCCCAUAUUAGCUUCAGUCUGUUCUCAUGCUGUCUUUGUUGGCAUGUAAACACAUCUUUUCAAGUGUCGCUAGUUUUGUGUUGAUAUAUAUGUGAAGUCAGAUUCUCCGCGGUGAUAUGUAAACAAAUGGCACUCUGAAGUGCGUGUGUGUGUGUGUGGUUGUGUGCCAGACUGAUCCGAAAGUGAGAUUUUGUUAUCCUUUGAUGGACACACUGGCUCACAUGUUGCUUCAGUGAAGCUGACUAAUGUGAAGUACAAAGUAUAUCUACUCCGGUCACUUUUUUGGUUUUACUUUCCUGCCAAGUUACGAGUGAGAAUCUGUUCUCAAUUGCCAUACCUAAGAUAGCAUCUUCAAAACGGCAUACCUGCAAUUUGUAAAGCAAAAUAAAGUUUGCUGCUGAUGUAUUUCGAAAAAAAAGAUGAUGGUACAAUUCCCAAGUGAUCUGAGCUUUCAAGCACACACUGUACAUCCAACGGCCCAGUGGUUCCCGUUUACCUGUAUGAUUGUCAUCACCUUGGAGAGGCUAGUUCUUCCCCCUUCAGAGUUUUUCUUUUCGCUCCCUCGGGCCUAAGACACCUUUGUUUUCUUGAAGAAUGAUUUCCUUUUGGGUCACCUCUCCAGCCUUUCAGGGCAGUGAAAGUGGAUCUGUCCAGGGCCUCUCCAUUACAUAGCCCAUCAGAUAGGGAGGGCAAGAUAACUCCCCUCUGUAUAAUAAAUGUCUCAUAUUUGAUCUUCACAGGUGGGAGUGAUCUCACAACAGUGAAGCCCUGGUGCCUCUCUGGGGACCACUUGCAUAAACACCGCCUUUUUAGUCUGAAAAAGAUGAGUCUGGUAGCCUUUUGUCAAGUCAAGUGGCAGCAAAAAGUCGUCAAAAAGGCACACGGCCUAGCGUUGCUUUUUGGAAAGGUGAAAAGUUGACAUUGCUGAUUCGAUCAGACCAGGCUUUGGGGAAGCUUCAUGGUGUGAAUCGUAAAAAAACACAUAGUAACCUUCAGCCCAAGUCCCUUUCUUACCAUAACCCAACCAACACCACAAUGUACA
Long non-coding RNA from Hippocampus zosterae (dwarf seahorse), 7466 nucleotides. RefSeq lists it as uncharacterized. The transcript is spliced from 2 exons. The record is from RefSeq and is a predicted model, not a curated record. Lineage: Eukaryota; Metazoa; Chordata; Actinopteri; Syngnathiformes; Syngnathidae.